Molecule: ribosomal RNA, 253 nt
Filed under: uncultured bacterium
Lineage: Bacteria
Description: partial 16S ribosomal RNA
Rfam family: Bacterial small subunit ribosomal RNA
Source: RNAcentral
UACGUAGGGGGCAAGCGUUGUCCGGAAUCAUUGGGCGUAAAGCGCGUGUAGGCGGCCCGAUAAGUCCGCUGUGAAAGUCAAGGGCUCAACCCUUGAAAGCCGGUUGAUACUGUCGGGCUAGAGUCCGGAAGAGGCGAGUGGAAUUCCCGGUGUAGCGGUGAAAUGCGCAGAUAUCGGGAGGAACACCAAUGGCGAAGGCAGCUCGCUGGGACGGUACUGACGCUGAGACGCGAAAGCGUGGGGAGCAAACAGG